AGGGGAGGCCGGAUCCUGGGCUGUGUCCCGGCGCCCUGUGCUCUGGGGCCUGUGCUGUUGGAUUCGCGCUCCCGCCCCGCAGCCCCCU
Molecule: microRNA precursor, 88 nt
Filed under: Canis lupus familiaris (dog)
Lineage: Eukaryota; Metazoa; Chordata; Mammalia; Carnivora; Canidae
Also listed under: 1 other name
Description: mir-8799 microRNA precursor family
Rfam family: mir-8799 microRNA precursor family
Source: Rfam by way of RNAcentral